This 200-nucleotide ribosomal RNA is filed under the name uncultured eukaryote. RNAcentral describes it as "partial 18S ribosomal RNA". It matches the Rfam family "Eukaryotic small subunit ribosomal RNA", at positions 587 to 820 of the family's 1831-position model. The record is from RNAcentral.
AGCUCCAAUAGCGUAUAUCAAAGUUGUUGCAGUUGAAAAGCUCGUAGUUGGUAGUUUUGGCGAGUUAAAAAGUGAGGCUUUGCCGAUCUAAAUUACUUGCCAAUUAUAUCCGUUGCUUCCGCAGCGGGUUCCUUUACUGUGACAAAAUUAGAGUGUUUCAAGCGGGCGCAAGGCCUUUAUACUAAAGCAUGGAAUAAUAC